Molecule: ribosomal RNA, 604 nt
Filed under: uncultured fungus
Lineage: Eukaryota; Fungi
Description: eukaryotic LSU rRNA
Rfam family: Eukaryotic large subunit ribosomal RNA
Source: RNAcentral
AGCAUAUCAAUAAGCGGAGGAAAAGAAACCAACAGGGAUUGCCUCAGUAACGGCGAGUGAAGCGGCAAAAGCUCAAAUUUGAAAUCUGGUCUCCUUGCGGGAUCCGAGUUGUAAUUUGUAGAGGAUGCUUCGGGUGCGGCCGUGGCGUAAGUUCCUUGGAACAGGGCGUCAUAGAGGGUGAGAAUCCCGUCUUGAGCCGCCGGACCGCGCCCGUGAGAAGCUCCUUCGACGAGUCGAGUUGUUUGGGAAUGCAGCUCUAAGUGGGUGGUAAAUUUCAUCUAAAGCUAAAUAUUGGCCGGAGACCGAUAGCGCACAAGUAGAGUGAUCGAAAGGUUAAAAGCACCUUGAAAAGGGAGUUAAACAGCACGUGAAAUUGUUGAAAGGGAAGCGCUUGCAACCAGACUCGAUCGCGGGGGUUCAGCGGGCAUUCUUGCCCGUGUACUCCCCCGUGCUUCGGGCCAGCAUCGGUUCUGACGGUUGGUCAAAGGCCCUCGGAAUGUAUCGUCCUCCGGGACGUCUUAUAGCCGGGGGUGCAAUGCAGCCAGUCGGGACCGAGGAACGCGCUUCGGCUUGGAUGCUGGCAUAAUGGUUGUAAGCGACCCGU